Molecule: ribosomal RNA, 269 nt
Filed under: Mantidactylus catalai
Lineage: Eukaryota; Metazoa; Chordata; Amphibia; Anura; Mantellidae
Description: partial 16S ribosomal RNA
Source: RNAcentral
AAGACGAGAAGACCCCAUGGAGCUUUAAACCCAAUUAUAUCUCUAACCACUAUAACCAUUUAACCACUUAGAACUUAUAUACUUGGUUUUAGGUUGGGGCGACCACGGAGCACAACCAAACCUCCACGAUGAACGGAACAACCCCCUUAUCUGAGAAUUACACUUCUAAGAAUUAGCACACUAACAUAAAAUGACCCAUUAUUGAUCAACGAACCAAGUUACCCUGGGGAUAACAGCGCAAUCCAUUUUAAGAGCCCCUAUCGACAAAU